GCAAGUCGAACGGUAACAUUGGUGCUUGCCCCCGAUGACGAUUGGCGCACGGGUGCGUAACGCGUAUGCAAUCUACCUUUUACUGACGAAUAGCCCAGAGAAAUUUGGAAUAAUCCUUCAUAAUAUCAUUUAUCAGCAUUGAUUUAUGAUUAAAGCUCCGGCGGUAAAAGAUGAGCAUGCGUCCUAUUAGUUUGUUGGUGAGGUAACGGCUCACCAAGACUACGAUAGGUAGGGGCCCUGAGAGGGUGAUC
RNAcentral lists this ribosomal RNA (251 nucleotides) under uncultured bacterium. RNAcentral describes it as "partial 16S ribosomal RNA". It matches the Rfam family "Bacterial small subunit ribosomal RNA", at positions 57 to 305 of the family's 1533-position model. The record is from RNAcentral.